RNAcentral lists this ribosomal RNA (469 nucleotides) under Bacteroidetes bacterium oral taxon 272. Its description in RNAcentral is "bacterial SSU rRNA". It matches the Rfam family "Bacterial small subunit ribosomal RNA", at positions 28 to 487 of the family's 1533-position model. The record is from RNAcentral. Lineage: Bacteria; Pseudomonadati; Bacteroidota.
GAUGAACGCUAGCUACAGGCUUAACACAUGCAAGUCGUGGGGCAUCAUGAUGUAGUAAUACAUUGAUGGCGACCGGCGCACGGGUGAGUAACGCGUAUCCAACCUACCCUCCACUCAAGUAUAGGCUUCCGAAAGGGAGAUUAAUCCUUGAUAUCGUCAUUCUCUCUCCUGUUAGAAUGAUAAAAGGACAUCGUUUCGGUAGAGGAUGGGGAUGCGUUCCAUUAGGUAGUAGGUGGUUUAACAGGCCACCUAGCCGAUGAUGGAUAGGGGUUCUGAGAGGAAUGUCCCCCACACUGGUACUGAGAUACGGACCAGACUCCUACGGGAGGCAGCAGUGAGGAAUAUUGGUCAAUGGGCGCAAGCCUGAACCAGCCAUGUAGCGUGAAGGAUGACGGUUUUUUUGAUUGUAAACUUCUUUUCUGUGCGAUUAAAGUGUGGCAUUUAUGCCAUAUUGCAGUAUCUCAGGAAU